GAUGAACGCUGGCGGCGUGCCUAAUACAUGCAAGUCGAGCGAACGGACGAGAAGCUUGCUUCUCUGAUGUUAGCGGCGGACGGGUGAGUAACACGUGGAUAACCUACCUAUAAGACUGGGAUAACUUCGGGAAACCGGAGGUGAUACAGGAUAAUAAUUUGAACCGCAUGGUUCAACAGUGAAAGACGGUCUUGCUGUCACAUAUAGAUGGAACCGCGCUGCAUUAGCGAGUUGGUAAGGUAACGGCUGACCAAGGCAACGAUGCAUAGCCGACCUGAGAGGGUUAUCGGGCACACCUGAACUGAGACACGGUCCAGACUCCUACGGGAGGCAGCAGUGGGGAAUCUUCCGCAAUGCGCGAAAGCCUGACGCAGCAACGCCGCGUGAGUGAUGAAGGUCUUCGGAUCGUAAAACUCUGUUAUUAGGGAAGAACAUAUGUGUAAGUAACUGUGCACAUCUUGACGGUACCUAAUCAGAAAGCCACGGCUAACUACGUG
This 497-nucleotide ribosomal RNA is filed under the name uncultured bacterium. RNAcentral describes it as "partial 16S ribosomal RNA". It matches the Rfam family "Bacterial small subunit ribosomal RNA", at positions 28 to 507 of the family's 1533-position model. The record is from RNAcentral.